GUGAGACAGGUGCUGCAUGGCUGUCGUCAGCUCGUGUUGUGAAAUGUUGGGUUAAGUCCCGCAACGAGCGCAACCCUUAUCCUUUGUUGCCAGCGGUCCGGCCGGGAACUCAAAGGAGACUGCCAGUGAUAAACUGGAGGAAGGUGGGGAUGACGUCAAGUCAUCAUGGCCCUUACGACCAGGGCUACACACGUGCUACAAUGGCGCAUACAAAGAGAAGCGACCUCGCGAGAGCAAGCGGACCUCAUAAAGUGCGUCGUAGUCCGGAUUGGAGUCUGCAACUCGACUCCAUGAAGUCGGAAUCGCUAGUAAUCGUGGAUCAGAAUGCCACGGUGAAUACGUUCCCGGGCCUUGUACACACCGCCCGUCACACCAUGGGAGUGGGUUGCAAAAGAAGUAGGUAGCUUAACCUUCGGGAGGGCGCUUACCACUUUGUGAUUCAUGACUGGGGUGAAGUCGUAACAAGGUAACCGUAGGGGAACCUGCGGUUGGAUCACC
Molecule: ribosomal RNA, 498 nt
Filed under: Escherichia coli 2-316-03_S1_C2
Lineage: Bacteria; Pseudomonadati; Pseudomonadota; Gammaproteobacteria; Enterobacterales; Enterobacteriaceae
Also listed under: 2 other names
Description: bacterial SSU rRNA
Rfam family: Bacterial small subunit ribosomal RNA
Source: RNAcentral